This 602-nucleotide ribosomal RNA is filed under the name uncultured bacterium. RNAcentral describes it as "bacterial SSU rRNA". It matches the Rfam family "Bacterial small subunit ribosomal RNA", at positions 335 to 947 of the family's 1533-position model. The record is from RNAcentral.
ACUCCUACGGGAGGCAGCAGUGGGGAAUAUUGCGCAAUGGGCGAAAGCCUGACGCAGCGACGCCGCGUGAGGGAUGACGGCCUUCGGGUUGUAAACCUCUUUCAGCAGGGACGAAGCGCAAGUGACGGUACCUGCAGAAGAAGCACCGGCCAACUACGUGCCAGCAGCCGCGGUAAUACGUAGGGUGCAAGCGUUGUCCGGAAUUAUUGGGCGUAAAGAGCUCGUAGGCGGUUUGUCGCGUCGGCUGUGAAAACUCGGGGCUCAACCCCGAGCCUGCAGUCGAUACGGGCAGACUAGAGUGCUGUAGGGGAGACUGGAAUUCCUGGUGUAGCGGUGAAAUGCGCAGAUAUCAGGAGGAACACCGGUGGCGAAGGCGGGUCUCUGGGCAGUAACUGACGCUGAGGAGCGAAAGCGUGGGGAGCGAACAGGAUUAGAUACCCUGGUAGUCCACGCCGUAAACGGUGGGUGCUAGGUGUGAGCGGUAUUCCACGCCGUUCGUGCCGCAGCUAACGCAUUAAGCACCCCGCCUGGGGAGUACGGCCGCAAGGCUAAAACUCAAAGGAAUUGACGGGGGCCCGCACAAGCAGCGGAGCAUGUGGCUU